RNAcentral lists this ribosomal RNA (305 nucleotides) under uncultured bacterium. RNAcentral's name for it is "bacterial SSU rRNA". It matches the Rfam family "Bacterial small subunit ribosomal RNA", at positions 333 to 654 of the family's 1533-position model. The record is from RNAcentral.
AUCGCCCUACGGGGGGCAGCAGUGGGGAAUAUUGCACAAUGGGGGAAACCCUGAUGCAGCAACGCCGCGUGAGUGAAGAAGUAUUUCGGUAUGUAAAGCUCUAUCAGCAGGGAAGAAGAAAGAUGGUACCCGACUAAGAAGCCCCGGCUAACUACGUGCCAGCAGCCGCGGUAAUACGUAGGGGGCGAGCGUUAUCCGGAUUUACUGGGUGUAAAGGGAGCGUAGACGGCUGUGCAAGUCUGAAGUGAAAGCCCGUGGCUCAACCGCGGAACUGCUUUGGAAACUGUAUAGCUUGAGUACUGGAG